GCGUAACGCGUGGGAAUCUGCCCUUGGGUACGGAACAACAGUUAGAAAUGACUGCUAAUACCGUAUAAUGACUCCGGUCCAAAGAUUUAUCGCCCAGGGAUGAGCCCGCGUCGGAUUAGCUAGUUGGUGAGGUAAAAGCUCACCAAGGCGACGAUCCGUAGCUGGUCUGAGAGGAUGAUCAGCCACACUGGGACUGAGACACGGCCCAGACUCCUACGGGAGGCAGCAGUGGGGAAUAUUGGACAAUGGGCGAAAGCCUGAUCCAGCAAUGCCGCGUGAGUGAUGAAGGCCUUAGGGUUGUAA
RNAcentral lists this ribosomal RNA (303 nucleotides) under uncultured Sphingomonas sp. Its description in RNAcentral is "bacterial SSU rRNA". It matches the Rfam family "Bacterial small subunit ribosomal RNA", at positions 108 to 428 of the family's 1533-position model. Lineage: Bacteria; Pseudomonadati; Pseudomonadota; Alphaproteobacteria; Sphingomonadales; Sphingomonadaceae. The record is from RNAcentral.